RNAcentral lists this ribosomal RNA (899 nucleotides) under uncultured bacterium. Its description in RNAcentral is "bacterial SSU rRNA". The stretch from base 105 to 899 matches the Rfam family "Bacterial small subunit ribosomal RNA", at positions 1 to 811 of the family's 1533-position model. The record is from RNAcentral.
UCGUUUACACGAGUGUAGAUAUUCUGCGACAGAGAAAUCGUAGUUACAGCAGCACGUCUAUAACUGGCCGACGCCUUACUAGGUUUGCAGCUACAAUUCUCACUUGGAUCCAGACUUUGAUCCUGGCUCAGGACGAACGCUGGCGGCGUGCCUAACACAUGCAAGUCGAGCGAGGAGAGUUCCUUCGGGAACAAACCUAGCGGCGGACGGGUGAGUAACACGUGGGCAACCUGCCUUAUAGAGGGGAAUAGCCUUCCGAAAGGAAGAUUAAUACCGCAUAACAUUACACUUUCGCAUGGAAGAGUAAUUAAAGGAGCAAUCCGCUAUAAGAUGGGCCCGCGGCGCAUUAGCUAGUUGGUGAGGUAACGGCUCACCAAGGCGACGAUGCGUAGCCGACCUGAGAGGGUGAUCGGCCACAUUGGGACCGAGACACGGCCCAGACUCCUACGGGAGGCAGCAGUGGGGAAUAUUGCACAAUGGGGGAAACCCUGAUGCAGCAACGCCGCGUGAGUGAUGAAGGUCUUCGGAUCGUAAAGCUCUGUCUUCAGGGACGAUAAUGACGGUACCUGAGGAGGAAGCCACGGCUAACUACGUGCCAGCAGCCGCGGUAAUACGUAGGUGGCGAGCGUUGUCCGGAUUUACUGGGCGUAAAGGGAGCGUAGGCGGACUUUUAAGUGAGAUGUGAAAUACCCAGGCUCAACCUGGGGGCUGCAUUUCAAACUGGAAGUCUAGAGUGCAGGAGAGGAGAGUGGAAUUCCUAGUGUAGCGGUGAAAUGCGUAGAGAUUAGGAAGAACACCAGUGGCGAAGGCGACUCCCUGGACUGUAACUGACGCUGAGGCUCGAAAGCGUGGGGAGCAAACAGGAUUAGAUACCCUGGUAGUCCACGCCGUAAACGAUG